CCCACACUGAGUAGGGUGCAUGCCGUGA
This 28-nucleotide non-coding RNA is filed under the name Homo sapiens (human). Lineage: Eukaryota; Metazoa; Chordata; Mammalia; Primates; Hominidae. The record is from RNAcentral.